UCGGGAAUUUUGGGCAAUGGGCGAAAGCCUGACCCAGCAACGCCGCGUGAGGGAUAAAGUAUUUCGGUAUGUAAACCUCGAAAGAAUGGGAAGAAUAAAUGACGGUACCAUUUAUAAGCUCCGGCUAACUACGUGCCAGCAGCCGUGGUAAUACGUAGGGAGCAAGCGUUGUUCGGAUUUACUGGGCGUAAAGGGCGCGUAGGCGGCGCGGUAAGUCACUUGUGAAAUCUCUGAGCUUAACUCAGAACGGCCAAGUGAUACUGCUGUGCUAGAGUGCGGAAGAGGCAACCGGAAUUCUUGGUGUAGCGGUGAAAUGCGUAGAUAUCAAGAGGAACACCUGAGGCGAAGGCGGGUUGCUGGGCCGACACUGACGCUGAUGCGCGAAAGCCAGGGGAGCAAACG
RNAcentral lists this ribosomal RNA (402 nucleotides) under uncultured bacterium. RNAcentral describes it as "bacterial SSU rRNA". It matches the Rfam family "Bacterial small subunit ribosomal RNA", at positions 355 to 774 of the family's 1533-position model. The record is from RNAcentral.